This 406-nucleotide ribosomal RNA is filed under the name Vibrio cholerae. RNAcentral describes it as "bacterial SSU rRNA". It matches the Rfam family "Bacterial small subunit ribosomal RNA", at positions 636 to 1041 of the family's 1533-position model. Lineage: Bacteria; Pseudomonadati; Pseudomonadota; Gammaproteobacteria; Vibrionales; Vibrionaceae. The record is from RNAcentral.
ACAAGCUAGAGUACUGUAGAGGGGGGUAGAAUUUCAGGUGUAGCGGUGAAAUGCGUAGAGAUCUGAAGGAAUACCGGUGGCGAAGGCGGCCCCCUGGACAGAUACUGACACUCAGAUGCGAAAGCGUGGGGAGCAAACAGGAUUAGAUACCCUGGUAGUCCACGCCGUAAACGAUGUCUACUUGGAGGUUGUGCCCUAGAGGCGUGGCUUUCGGAGCUAACGCGUUAAGUAGACCGCCUGGGGAGUACGGUCGCAAGAUUAAAACUCAAAUGAAUUGACGGGGGCCCGCACAAGCGGUGGAGCAUGUGGUUUAAUUCGAUGCAACGCGAAGAACCUUACCUACUCUUGACAUCCAGAGAAUCUAGCGGAGACGCUGGAGUGCCUUCGGGAGCUCUGAGACAGGUGC